GCGAUUCGCCCUUCGGGGUGCAGCAGGCGCGAAAACUUUACAAUGCUGGAAACAGCGAUAAGGGGACCUCGAGUGCCAGGUUACAAAUCUGGCUGUCGUGAUGCCUAAAAAGCAUUGCAUAGCAAGGGCCGGGCAAGACCGGUGCCAGCCGCCGCGGUAACACCGGCGGCUCGAGUGGUAACCGUUAUUAUUGGGUCUAAAGGGUCUGUAGCCGGCCGGAUAAGUCUCUUGAGAAAUCCAGCAGCUCAACUGUUGGGCUUUCAGGAGAUACUGUCUGGCUCGAGGCCGGGAGAGGUGAGAGGUACUUCAGGGGUAGGGGUGAAAUCUUGUAAUCCUUGAAGGACCACCAGUGGCGAAGGCGUCUCACCAGAACGGACCUGACGGCAAGGGACGAAAGCUAGGGGCACGAACCGGAUUAGAUACCCGGGUAGUCCUAGCCGUAAACGAUACUCGCUAGGUGUCGGCCACGGUGCGACCGUUGUCGGUGCCGUAGGGAAGCCGUGAAGCGAGCCACCUGGGAAGUACGGCCGCAAGGCUGAAACUUAAAGGAAUUGGCGGGGGAGCAC
Molecule: ribosomal RNA, 566 nt
Filed under: uncultured archaeon
Lineage: Archaea
Description: bacterial SSU rRNA
Rfam family: Archaeal small subunit ribosomal RNA
Source: RNAcentral